This 253-nucleotide ribosomal RNA is filed under the name uncultured bacterium. Its description in RNAcentral is "partial 16S ribosomal RNA". It matches the Rfam family "Bacterial small subunit ribosomal RNA", at positions 524 to 776 of the family's 1533-position model. The record is from RNAcentral.
UACGGGGGGGGCAAGCGUUGUUCGGAAUUUCUGGGCGUAAAGGGCUCGUAGGCGGCCAACUAAGUCGGACGUGAAAUCCCCAGGCUCAACCUGGGAACUGCAUCCGAUACUGGAUGGCUUGAAUUCGGGAGAGGGAUGCAGAAUUCCAGGUGUAGCGGUGAAAUGCGUAGAUAUCUGGAGGAAUACCGGUGGCGAAGGCGGCAUCCUGGACCGACAUUGACGCUGAGGAGCGAAAGCCAGGGGAGCAAACGGG